RNAcentral lists this ribosomal RNA (251 nucleotides) under uncultured bacterium. RNAcentral's name for it is "partial 16S ribosomal RNA". It matches the Rfam family "Bacterial small subunit ribosomal RNA", at positions 28 to 285 of the family's 1533-position model. The record is from RNAcentral.
GAUGAACGCUAGCGGCAGGCUUAACACAUGCAAGUCGAGGGGUAUGGCAGCAAUGCCAGAGACCGGCGCACGGGUGCGUAACGCGUAUGCAAUCUGCCUUUCACAAAGGGAUAGCCCAGAGAAAUUUGGAUUAAUACCUUAUAGUAUAUUUAAGUGGCAUCACUUGAUUAUUAAAGUAACAACGGUGAAAGAUGAGCAUGCGUCCCAUUAGCAGUUGGUAAGGUAACGGCUUACCAAGGCAACGAUGGGUA